This 136-nucleotide ribosomal RNA is filed under the name Penicillium citrinum. RNAcentral's name for it is "partial 28S ribosomal RNA". It matches the Rfam family "Eukaryotic large subunit ribosomal RNA", at positions 1 to 135 of the family's 3401-position model. The record is from RNAcentral. Lineage: Eukaryota; Fungi; Ascomycota; Eurotiomycetes; Eurotiales; Aspergillaceae.
UUGACCUCGGAUCAGGUAGGGAUACCCGCUGAACUUAAGCAUAUCAAUAAGCGGAGGAAACGAAACCAACCGGGAUUGCCCUAGUAACGGCGAGUGAAGCGGCAAGAGCUCAAAUUUGAAAGCUGGCCCCCUCGGG